ACAACUGCAGCGAGAGAAGAGGCUGGCAGCAUGGGUGGCAGGAGGCUUGGCAGCCUCACAGGAUGCCUGCAAAUACCUUUCACUUAUGCAGUUUGGCAGUGCAGUGGUGCAUGGAGACAGCGUCUUGGGCCUGGCACCCACAGCCACUUAGGAAGUUGGAGUCCUGGAGAGGAGAACACAGAACGUGGACAACUAGCUGUCAAAUUGCAGUAAAAGUUGGUUCAGGAAAAGUGGAAGCUACCCAGAUGUCUACCAAUUGAGAUGAACCAUCCAAUCUCCUGCCUCGAGUAUUGAAGCCUGGCUACUGUGACUGUGGGGAAGGGAUUAACGGUCUCAGCAUUCAGUGCUUUCCAGUGCCCCAAAGACAGAGAUGUUAAAUGCUGCAUUGCCCACAUUCCCUUGGAGCUGGUGUUCUUCAUGUCUGCCAAGGGGAUAUAUUAACACUGGAUAUUGGGAAGGCAGAAGCAAGCACCAUAUAGCAUGGCCCAGCAGCUCUUUCGAAAGGCAAGGUGGUGGAUGCAUUUGGUUCUUCUGAGGCACAUGUGGAGAAGUAGUGUCCACUCCUAGCUUUAUGGGUGUCAAGUAGAGGGCACCUGUAAAAAUAGCAACUAGGGAUUUCGUGGAACACUCCUAUACAGUGAUUGGAACUUCUCAUGGCUGUAUGGCUGCUGGCUAUGUAUCAUCUAAGCUCAUCCCAAACUUCUUAAGACCUCCGGUCUGUAAAGGUCACAUUUCAAAGGCCAGAUCUUUCCCAGGCUUAAGCUGUUCCUUGGAUACUUUUGCUGAUGGUUACACAUCUUCUUCCCACAUUAUAUUGUAACUUUCUU
Molecule: non-coding RNA, 827 nt
Filed under: Homo sapiens (human)
Lineage: Eukaryota; Metazoa; Chordata; Mammalia; Primates; Hominidae
Source: RNAcentral